This 233-nucleotide ribosomal RNA is filed under the name uncultured Actinomycetales bacterium. RNAcentral's name for it is "partial 16S ribosomal RNA". It matches the Rfam family "Bacterial small subunit ribosomal RNA", at positions 97 to 334 of the family's 1533-position model. The record is from RNAcentral. Lineage: Bacteria; Bacillati; Actinomycetota; Actinomycetes; Actinomycetales.
GGCGAACGGGUGAGUAACACGUGGGUGAUCUGCCCUGCACUCUGGGAUAAGCCUGGGAAACUGGGUCUAAUACCGGAUAGGACCAUGCUUUAGUGUGUGUGGUGGAAAGUUUUUCGGUGUAGGAUGAGCCCGCGGCCUAUCAGCUUGUUGGUGGGGUGAUGGCCUACCAAGGCGACGACGGGUAGCCGGCCUGAGAGGGUGAUCGGCCACAUUGGGACUGAGAUACGGCCCAG